RNAcentral lists this ribosomal RNA (253 nucleotides) under uncultured bacterium. RNAcentral describes it as "partial 16S ribosomal RNA". It matches the Rfam family "Bacterial small subunit ribosomal RNA", at positions 524 to 776 of the family's 1533-position model. The record is from RNAcentral.
UACGUAGGGGGCAAGCGUUGUCCGGAAUUAUUGGGCGUAAAGAGCGUGUAGGCGGUUUGGUAGGUCCGCUGUGAAAACUCGAGGCUCAACCUCGAGACGCCGGUGGAAACCAUCAGACUAGAGUCCGGAAGAGGAGAGUGGAAUUCCUGGUGUAGCGGUGAAAUGCGCAGAUAUCAGGAAGAACACCCGUGGCUAAAGCGGCUCUCUAGUACGGUACUGACGCUGAGACGCGAAAGCGUGGGGAGCGAACAGG